AUGAGUUCGUGUUAGUCCCCCUAUCCCGAUCUGGAUUUUAUGGAUCUUUCAAAAAAAGUUCUUGUUAGGGAUUUGAGUUUUUUCCAUUUAACAUGCUCUCAUGUAGGGUAGUAGCACUCUCUCGGCUGUGGCUGCACGUUCAACUGGCCAGUCAAGGAGCUCCAGCAAGCAGGUCCGCCUACUCUCCUUUCCCCUGAGCUCCUGCAACUACACAAAUCAUCUUCCUGGUAUUUUCUCACUUUUGAUUCACAGACUAUGUAUUGUAGUUAGUUCUGGUGAUUAUCAGUUGAUCUAAGACCACUGUACGUGCAUAUCUCAGACUUGAGAAGAAUGCACAUAGCCUUGCUGAGAACAUAAUAUUGUUUCGAUGAUUAUCUUGUUUGUGCGCUUGUUUUGAUAAAACACAGGGGUUAUAGAGGAAUUGAAACAUGUUACAUUGAAAUCAGAGAGCAUGUCGUUGUUGCUUAAUUCCGUUAAUCUUGGCUGUCACUGUAUACCUUGAGAUUCAGGUAGAAGCAAUAGAAUCCAGGAAAAAAAUACCUACCUGCAUGUGUUCCUUAGAGAGUUUGUUUUCUUCAUACCUCACCAUUCUUAAUAUAUAUGGUCAUCUAUGUUCUGGAUAUCACACUCGACGGCCUCCCUUCAUGGCACAAAACUGAAACUACGCCAUGAAUAUAUUUAUUCAGUGAAAUAGCUGAUUCCAAUCAUUCAUCAACUAGCUUUGUUUUAAUCACAGCAAUAAGUCAUGAUAUCUUGAAAUUGCCUGAUUGGUGAUUAUACAUUUUAUAUGAUGUUUUUCACCUGCAAGCUCUGCACUUCUUUCCUUUCAACUUUAUCUCUCUUGCUUUAUUUCAUGAAUAUAUUCCUCUUCUCAUUCCAUCAUUCAGUCUGUUUGCAACAAAAUCCUGAUUCAUAGUCUGUUUUUUUUUAAUGCUUGGCACAUCCUAAACAAAAUCCUGAUUAAACGAUAGGCUUGGCAUAUCUUUUUUUAUCACUAUGGUUGCUUUUAUCCGCAACUGAUUUCUCUGAUUCCUUUCCCAUGCUGUAAUGCAAUUGUUUUGGGCAAUUCCCCAAGGCCUUAUGUUUUAUGUUAUUGGGAACUGCAGGACACCCAGCGAGUGUUUAGGAUCCCACACACGACAGUUCUUGGCAUGCUCCUGGCACACCUUGGACUAUCACCGGCUCAGUAUGAACGCGUUGUUCAUGAGGACGGCAAGACCCAUGUUGUAAAUUGUCUGUAAGCGACGUGUUGCCGUAUCUUCUAUGCCUAAAACGUCUGUAAGCGACGUGUUGUCGUAUCUUCUAUGCCUAAACGCGUCUAUGUUAUGCCUAAAACUUAAAGUUAUCUAUGCAUAGUUGUAAAUUGUCUUUAAGCGACGUGUUGUCGUAUCUUCUAUGCCUAAGAUAUUUGGUGCUAACCUAUCGUGAAACAUGAUUUCUAUGUUCAUGCAUUGUUAAGUAGCUUCUUAU
Molecule: long non-coding RNA, 1470 nt
Filed under: Triticum aestivum (bread wheat)
Lineage: Eukaryota; Viridiplantae; Streptophyta; Magnoliopsida; Poales; Poaceae
Description: long non-coding RNA (TAES_LNC018518)
Source: RNAcentral